AAAAAAUACAGAAAUGAAUAUUAAAAAAUUGCUGUUGAUAGAGGCAUAAGAAUAGCUGAAAUUAUUUUAAAGAACUGCUGAAAAUACAGGAAGUGGGGGAGCUGAAUUUCAAUAGAUUUUCUAAAAACAGAAGUUGCAGGAAGCUUAAAUUUGUUUAAAAUUGUUUGUAGUAAUAUUAGUACUAGUAUUAGUUAUAAUUGUGGUAUUAGUAGUACUAGCAGUAUAAGCAGUAAUAGUAGGUUUAGUAUCAAUAGCAGUAGAAACAGCUGUAAUACUAUUAGCCAUAGUAGUAUUUGUAAUAACAUUAGUAGUAGUUGUAGUAUUAAUAGCAGUAGAAAUACUAGUAGUAUGGUAGUAGAAGUAUCAGUUGUAGUACUAGAAGUACGAGUAAUAUUCGUAGUGGGAGACAGAAUGUUUGUUAUUCACACUUAAAAGUUUUUAAUUAAUAGGCCUCAUCACAGACAUUACAGUAAAAAUUCCCUCCAUGGGGCUUUUAUUUUGAAAUGAUUGGAUUGGGUGGGGUGGGGGGGUGUAGAUAGAGGGAGGGAGGCUGAGAGGGUGAGGAAGGGAAUGGUGGUGAGGAAGAGAUAGAGGGAGAGAGAGAGAGAGGAGAGAUAGACAGACAUACUGACUGAGAGUGAUUAACAGUGAGAAGGGGUCAGGGUGGAGUGGGGAGGGGGGGCGAGUGUCUUUAUCAUAUUGGUCUGUUGACAGAAAGCAUAGCUGCGUCAUGUGACUCCACUAAUCAGGUCAUAGGAGCAGCUUUGAGCCACAGACAGAGAUCCUGCAGCGUGUGAGCGAGUAACCACGACAACGGCGCACCUAUUGGAUUGGGUGGGGUGGGGGGGUGUAGAUAGAGGGAGGGAGGGUGAGAGGGUGAGGAAUGGAGGGGUGGUGAGGAAGAGAUAGAGAGGGAGAGGGGAGGAGAAUUAGACAGACUGACUGACUGAGAGUGAUUAACAGUGAGAAGAGGUCAGGGUGGAGGGGGGAGGGGGGGCGAGUGUCUUUAUCAUAUUGGUCUGUUGACAGAAAGCAUAGCUGCGUCAUGUGACUCCACUAAUCAGGUCAUAGGAGCGAGCAGCUGUGAGUCACAGACAGAUCCUGCAGCAUGUGAGCGAGUAACCACGACAACGGCGCACCUGUGCUCAUUAACGAUCUGCUGCAAAAGACAGAGACAUGGCAGCAAGUUACACAGAAUCCACACCUCACACAAAUGAGAACCAGCGCAAAACUAUAACAGCUAUCUAAAAAAUACGG
Molecule: long non-coding RNA, 1257 nt
Organism: Gasterosteus aculeatus aculeatus (three-spined stickleback)
Lineage: Eukaryota; Metazoa; Chordata; Actinopteri; Perciformes; Gasterosteidae
Source: Ensembl